GCAAUUGGCGGAGGGCUAACACAUGCAAGUCGAGCGGUAGCACAGAGAGCUUGCUCUCGGGUGACGAGCGGCGGACGGGUGAGUAAUGUCUGGGAAACUGCCUGAUGGAGGGGGAUAACUACUGGAAACGGUAGCUAAUACCGCAUAAUGUCGCAAGACCAAAGUGGGGGACCUUCGGGCCUCAUGCCAUCAGAUGUGCCCAGAUGGGAUUAGCUAGUAGGUGGGGUAACGGCUCACCUAGGCGACGAUCCCUAGCUGGUCUGAGAGGAUGACCAGCCACACUGGAACUGAGACACGGUCCAGACUCCUACGGGAGGCAGCAGUGGGGAAUAUUGCACAAUGGGCGCAAGCCUGAUGCAGCCAUGCCGCGUGUGUGAAGAAGGCCUUCGGGUUGUAAAGCACUUUCAGCGGGGAGGAAGGCGGUAAGGUUAAUAACCUUGGCGAUUGACGUUACCCGCAGAAGAAGCACCGGCUAACUCCGUGCCAGCAGCCGCGGUAAUACGGAGGGUGCAAGCGUUAAUCGGAAUUACUGGGCGUAAAGCGCACGCAGGCGGUCUGUCAAGUCGGAUGUGAAAUCCCCGGGCUCAACCUGGGAACUGCAUUCGAAACUGGCAGGCUAGAGUCUUGUAGAGGGGGGUAGAAUUCCAGGUGUAGCGGUGAAAUGCGUAGAGAUCUGGAGGAAUACCGGUGGCGAAGGCGGCCCCCUGGACAAAGACUGACGCUCAGGUGCGAAAGCGUGGGGAGCAAACAGGAUUAGAUACCCUGGUAGUCCACGCCGUAAACGAUGUCGAUUUGGAGGUUGUGCCCUUGAGGCGUGGCUUCCGGAGCUAACGCGUUAAAUCGACCGCCUGGGGAGUACGGGCCGCAAGGUUAAAACUCAAAUGAAUUGACGGGGGCCCGCACAAGCGGUGAGCAUGUGGUUUAAUUCGAUGCAACGCGAGGA
Molecule: ribosomal RNA, 943 nt
Filed under: Klebsiella pneumoniae
Lineage: Bacteria; Pseudomonadati; Pseudomonadota; Gammaproteobacteria; Enterobacterales; Enterobacteriaceae
Description: bacterial SSU rRNA
Rfam family: Bacterial small subunit ribosomal RNA
Source: RNAcentral